RNAcentral lists this long non-coding RNA (654 nucleotides) under Nicotiana benthamiana. Its description in RNAcentral is "long non-coding RNA (NBEN_LNC002641)". Lineage: Eukaryota; Viridiplantae; Streptophyta; Magnoliopsida; Solanales; Solanaceae. The record is from RNAcentral.
AAUAAUACCGAUGUCCUUUUACAAAGAGACGGUUUCCUUUAUAUAGUAGGAAAUCUUUCUCGAACAAAUAAAUAAAAAUGAAUAAAUAAAAAAAAGUUACAAAGGUUUGAGGCUUCCACUCAACAAAAGGAGUCAGACGCUAAACGACAUCGUUCCUGAUUUGGGCCGCACCCUUGCUUGGGCCGCCCUUAUUACAAGGGACGUGCCCACCUGGCGUGGGGAGGUGAUGAGUCAAAUUUAACCCUACACAAUAUUGUGUGAAGUCUGUUAAUAAUAAAAAAAAAACAUGUUAAAAUAUUAGGAAAGCGUUAAAGCAACGGAUUCACGUUAUAUACAUGGAUAACAUUACAAAAGUUAUAUUAUCGUUAUAAUUUUACUUGUGAUUGCAUAUUAUUUUAAAUAUAUACAUAAUUUGACUGUAUGUGGAGCUUAAGACACAAAUAAAGUUUUUGAUUCUUGUGAUUUUAAAUAUGGUGACAUGAAUUGUGUAGUUAUAUAAUACUUUUGAAACUGUAGAUCUAAUCUUUGAUUAUCAUUAAAGAUAAACCAGAAGUUCGAAUUAGAUUAUUUUUAAUGGUAAAAAUAUAGGAGUUGUUGGAAGAGGAUUGCUAUUAAUAUUUGGAGGAAGGUUUUUAGGCUAAGGGAAUUUUGGAA